This 254-nucleotide ribosomal RNA is filed under the name uncultured bacterium. RNAcentral describes it as "partial 16S ribosomal RNA". It matches the Rfam family "Bacterial small subunit ribosomal RNA", at positions 524 to 776 of the family's 1533-position model. The record is from RNAcentral.
UACGUAGGGGGCGAGCGUUGUCCGGAUUUAUUGGGCGUAAAGAGCUCGUAGGCGGCUUGGCAAGUCGGGUGUGAAACCUCCAGGCUUAACCUGGAGACGCCACUCGAUACUGCCAUGGCUAGAGUCCGGUAGGGGACCACGGAAUUCCUGGUGUAGCGGUGAAAUGCGUAGAGAUCCGGAAGAACACCGGUGGCGAAGGCGGUGAGCUGGGCAGUAGCUGACACUGAGGCGCGACAGCGUGGGGAGCAAACAGG